This 483-nucleotide ribosomal RNA is filed under the name uncultured bacterium. RNAcentral's name for it is "partial 16S ribosomal RNA". It matches the Rfam family "Bacterial small subunit ribosomal RNA", at positions 29 to 507 of the family's 1533-position model. The record is from RNAcentral.
AGUGAACGCUGGCGGCAUGCCUAACACAUGCAAGUCGAGCGGCAGCGGGUCCUUCGUGCUGCCGGCGAGCGGCGGACGGGUGAGGAAUACAUCGGAAUCUGCCCUGUCGUUGGGGAUAACCUAGGGUAACUAGGCUAAUACCGCAUACGACCUACGGUUUAAAGCGCGGGAUCGCAAGACCUCGCACGACAUUGUUAGCCGAUGUCCGAUUAUCUAGUUGGCGGGGUAAAGUCCCACCAAGGCGACGAUCGGUAGCUGGUCUGAGAGGAUGAUCAGCCACACUGGGACUGAGACACGGCCCAGACUCCUACGGGAGGCAGCAGUGGGGAAUAUUGGACAAUGGGCGCAAGCCUGAUCCAGCAAUGCCGCGUGGGUGAAGAAGGCCUUCGGGUUGUAAAGCCCUUUUGUCCGGGAAGAACACGUGUGGGAUAAUCCCGCGGGCGGAUGACGGUACCGGAAGAAAAAGCCCCGGCUAACUUCGUG